UAAAGUAUAUUGUGAGCACCAGAAUUUGAAUUCUAUUGGGUGGAGUCAUGCAGCACCACACCAAGAACUUUUCUCACAAUGCUACAUAUGAACCCGUGGUUACAAUAGAAUGAACACAAUGAUUAGUUUCUCCAGCUCCGCCCCUGACCCGAAACCCAUAAAACUUCAUUCUCUUUCCCUGACGGUGCACUUCUAUGUUGCUCCUGCGUGUGGAUUGUCAACAACAUAUCACUAAUGGUAGGUUGUGUUUUUUCCGCACCACCCGAUGUACUCUGGAUGCAUUACGUUGUAAUCUAAAACAGGUUUUUACUUUUGGAAAAAAAAAACACCUCAAAACAGAAAAGCAAAGGGAAGAACUGAACAUAAAUUCUUGAAUUCAUGAUGAGAAAAAGAAGAAGAAAAAAGGACCUCUAAUCGGGCAAGAAACUGUUGCGUUGCCUUCCAAGCUAGGCAAUCCGCUGGAUCUAAUUAAGCUAGCAGGUGGCAAGCAGUACCGCAUUAGUACGUUGUAUUGUCCUCCUCAAGAAAAGGAAACACAGCACAAAAAAAAGACACUACGGAUACGUGCAGUGCUAAGCCAUAGCCAGGCCCUGAAACGGGAUUAUGGGACAGCGAAAGCACGAGCGGCCCCGCUCCCUGGCACGAACGGCACACAAGUGGGUCUGUGUGGGUAGCGUGCGUGUAUACGUCACGAGCUCAA
This 700-nucleotide long non-coding RNA is filed under the name Brachypodium distachyon (stiff brome). RNAcentral's name for it is "long non-coding RNA (BDIS_LNC001678)". The record is from RNAcentral. Lineage: Eukaryota; Viridiplantae; Streptophyta; Magnoliopsida; Poales; Poaceae.